Molecule: ribosomal RNA, 253 nt
Filed under: uncultured bacterium
Lineage: Bacteria
Description: partial 16S ribosomal RNA
Rfam family: Bacterial small subunit ribosomal RNA
Source: RNAcentral
UACGUAGGUCGCAAGCGCUGUCCGGAUUUACUGGGCGUAAAGAGCGCGCAGGCGGCUGGUCAAGUCCGAUGUGAAAUCUCCCGGCUCAACUGGGAAACUGCAUCGGAAACUGAUCGGCUUGAAGAUGGGAGAGGGUAGUGGAAUUCCCGGUGUAGUGGUGAAAUGCGUAGAUAUCGGGAGGAACACCAGUGGCGAAGGCGACUACCUGGCCCAUUCUUGACGCUGAGGCGCGAAAGCUAGGGGAGCGAACGGG